AUGUUCAGUAACCUAAAUAAUACAUGGCUCCCAGAAGGUACUCAUUUGAUGGUAAUUCUUUUCUUUUUUUUCCCAUUAAAGAAAACCCUGGAUGUUAUCAUGAAAAAUGAAAUUGAAGCAUUGAUUCCAAAACUGUCCGAAGAGAAAACAGAAGCCAAGAGACGAGGCUCUUCACCUCUCCAAAGUGAUUAUUUCCCUUUCACUGUGAAGUAUCCUGCCCGAAUUAAAGUAAUCAAAUUUAGAAAGGAAUAGAACUAGAACAUCUGGCAUCAGCAUCUUUCCCCCACUCCCACCCCAUCCAUGUAAUACACGCUCUUUGAGGAGAAUAUACACAAAGCAAAAGAAGAUGUCAACAAUCAUUCACGUACCACGAUUCAGAGAAAGCUGUCCUGUAAGACUUCUAUGUGCAUAGUUUACAAAAAUGAAAACAUAUUAUACAUAUUUCUUUAUAAUCUGCUUUUGUCUGUGAUACAAAUAUUUAGCUAUUGAAUCAUAUGAUGUCUGGGAUUUGAUUAGAAACAAUCCAGUGGGAGAUAACUUGGGGUAUAAAUGAAGCAGGAAGAACCUUGAGUUUAUAAUUGUUGUAGCUGGAUGCUGGGGUUCACAGAUCUCUAUAAUUGAGCACGUUUGAAAUUUUCUGUAGUAAAAAUGUCAUUAAACAGUAACCUGUUAACCUGUAACACAAUUCUUAAUGGCCACAUGUGUUAUGAUCUAACCAAUCUUCUGCUGUUGAGCAAUUAGAUCAUUUCUGAGUUUUCAUUUUGUAAACAAUACUGUGAUGGACAUCUUUUUAGCUAAAUCUGAUGGAUCUGAGAUGGACUGAAGGGAAAGAAAGAGGUCAUGAAUGAUUCCAAGGAUUUUUCUGAGUACUUGCAAGAACAAGUUUCCAUUAAUUAAGAAAGAAAAGAUUUAAAAUUAAGAGUAACUUGGGAUGGAAAAUCAAGAGUUUGAUUUUGACGGUCACAUUAAAUUUUGGAAGCCUAUCAGACAUGUAAGUGGAGAUGUCGAGUAGGUAGACAGUCCCAUUUAAGGACUGGAAUUCAGGGGAGGAGUGAGGGCUGGAAAUAUAUAUUUUAGAUCAUGGGCAUAUUGAUGUUGAAUAAAGGAGCGAAGAAAUAUUUGAUUUCUCCAGGUCCGUUAAUUUACGAUAAAAAAGAUGAGGAAUCAACAAAUAGGCACCGAAAUAGGUAGAAAGUAAAGGAACAGAAUGUGAUGUCCCAGAAACCACGUGAAGAAAGUAUUUCUAGAAGGAAGACACUGAGAGGUCUAAUAAAAUGUGAGCUGAAAAACUGCCUGUGAGAUUCGGCAACCUGAUGCCUUGUUUAUUAUCAUCUUUCCCAACUACAAGGGAAGCUCCAUGAGUUCCGGGACUUCGCUUCGGUUAUUUCUACAAUCCCAGUUCCUAGAACUGUUUUUGAAUAGUAUGCGUUCAAUAAAUAACUGUUGAAACAAAGAGGGACAAAUAAAUCAAAUCUGUGUGCAUUUGUAAUUAGUUAUAAUUCCUAAGAGUAGAAUUACUAAGUUCAAGCAAAAUUGUAGGUCUUUUGAUAUGAAGGGCUAUUACUAAUUUUUCAAUCCACCAAAAAAGCCUGAAUCAAUCCCACUGAAAGUCCAUCCACUAUUCCCUUGUUGUUAUCAGUGGGAAACCUCAAAAAAUAGCUUGAGCCAGCCUCUGGCAGACAGAUGAACCAAGCAGUCUAUUUUUAGUUCCCUCCCACUCUGCUCUCACUGCGCUAGAACCCACAUUUGAUUCCCCCUCAAGUGCCCAUCUCUAGGAUUGUGUCCAUUCGUUUCAUCCUCCCCACCCUAAGGACGUAGCUGAAUAUUAAGAUAGCAGUUCAACAUCAUGGUAAAGCAAGAGCUCAACCAAGAUGAAAGCGUCCAAGACCUAGAAGAGCAAAGCUGUAAUAGACUCACAGACACUGGAACUGCUGCUUGGGUCCGGGAGCCCUGCCUAAAAUCACAUCACUGCUUGGUCCACAACCUAAUAAAGCUGGCUCUGAGCUAGCCUUAUGGAAAAUGCCUGGGGAAUGGCCUAAUGCCCUGACCUGCCUGGGAGAGAGAUCCUGAGCCUAUCCUGCUUCCUCUGAAUCUCCAAAAGCUGUGUCCUCCCAUUCCCGGUGUUUAACUUACGCUAGCACAUGUGGACUUGCUUUAUCUUUCCUCUUCCUAGGCUGUUUCUCAAACAUACAGCGUAGUCUUACCUCUGUAUGGCUGCAAUGCCCUGCAUGGGAUGGGCCUCAAGCACAUCUCGGGAACUGUUGACAAACAACCGACAUCACACCCAACCAGGCUGAAGUCAGACCCAAGAUAGCACAUUUCUCCCAGCACCUGUUGCUCAUCCAUCCUACCCCCAAAAAAGAAUCAUACUCAAACCUGUAUUGGAUGACUCAAAGGUACUACCUCCAACCUGGUACCUUUUUUACCCGAGGGACUUGGGAAAAAGCAGGGAAUGCUUCGUGUAAGCUAGUGGAAAAGAGGAACUAAAACCAAAGAUGUGCAUAUGGGGAGGACAGUACGUGGAUGGGGUAGAAAUUAUGGGGGCUGAUGGCUCUUAGGUAAACCCUCAACCCAGACAGGAAGUUCAAAAGAGACACACUCCACACAUACACACACAGACUGGAUUCUGAAAACACAUGUGAGACAUCAUUAGAUAAAUUUAUUUACAGACGUUAACUCUCACAAUGAGCCAGUCCUGGGUUUUAUGACAAUAAAGCAGCUCAGGUUAAGAAUUAUCAAAACACGGCCUAUUUCAUAGGACCACCUAUGGAGCAUUUCCCCUCCCUCACCCUUGGCUCAUCUUCUCAUUAUGACACAUGCCAGAAAUAAUCUCCCAGCUACAGAUCACUUUGAAGUCGGAAACAUUCCUGGUUGAGAUUUUCCCAAAGUCAAGGGCUUAAAAAAAACCUUUUAAGGUCAGAAAAGAUCACCAGGGAACUGACAGGAUAAAGUGAAGCCCAGCAUGCCCAAAGGCAAAAAUCUUCAGGCUCUGUCAUUUCAACUUAGCUUGUGAAUAUAUUAAAAAUCCCGAGGUCAAAAGCCAUUUUACUUUCUCAUCACAUUACGGCUCUAGCCCCGGAGAAAGCAUACAAACUGCAUUAUUUUCAGAUCAUGACGCAGGGAUUCUCAGACUCAAGCGUGUGUGAGAACCACCUGGGGAGCUGCUUAAAUGUAGGUCAGAAGCCCCACCUCCAGAGAUUAACAGAGGCGAGCCCCCCCACCCCCAAUCUUUAUUUUAACGUGUUUCAGGUGGUCCACGGCUAAACUGUUAGCAGUCUU
This 3279-nucleotide long non-coding RNA is filed under the name Canis lupus familiaris (dog). RNAcentral's name for it is "lncRNA (ENSCAFG00845013054.1)". Lineage: Eukaryota; Metazoa; Chordata; Mammalia; Carnivora; Canidae. The record is from RNAcentral.